CCCUCUCUCUCUGCCCCUCCCCUGCUAAUGCUCUGUCUCUGUCGCUCAAAAAAUAAGUAAACGUUAAGAAAAUGAAAAAGAAAGUAAGGGAAGGUGUGAGACUGAGAGUGAGUGGUGGUGGCUGGAGAGAGGUUAGGAAGGAGGUUAUUUUUAGGAAGGCUUGGGUGGGAACGAAAACUGGGCGAGUGGAGGCAGGGGCAGUGCAGCCAGGGCACGGCUUGCGCGCCUGGAAAGGGUCGACCAGUUCCCUAGAACCUCCCAUUUCUUCUCAUAUUCUCAUAAUCCUUCCUCACCAAGUCAGAAGAGGAAGUCAGCCCCAAUGACUGGAGGGGAGGUGGGAUGGCAGGAAGGCACUGUCUUGUGCAUGUUACCCGCCCCCUGCGUUCUUACAGGAGGAAGAUUCGCUCACUAUAGAAAAUAUAGGUGUGCAGGACAAUCUGUUAGGCACCAUAGGGAUUUCACAAACGUGACAGCUGAUAGCUGCUCUCUAUUUGCUGAGACAGCUUUUGAGCUGGUCUUUUUUUUUUUGGUUUGCGUUUUUUUGUUUGUCUUCUGUUUUUGUUUUGGUUUUGGUCCCACGUUUCCUAAGUUAGUGACCCACAAAACAGCUUUCCCCUUCAAAACAAACCUUACCAUGUCUGUAGUGGUUUUUUAUUUGUAACGUGUGACCAGUUCUCAGUUAUCCAGAAUACCAUAGAAGUAUGGCGUUGGGAGAGAGAGGAAACAAAAGAUGUCAUUGGGUUAGACCAACGGUGUCCUUCUCUAGGAGGUAAGAGGUAGGUUAUAUCUCCACGUGAAGAUCAAGAGAUUGUGAAUUUAACUUGACUAAAUCUAUUUACUAGAUUGUUUUAUUUCAGUGCCUUGAAUGGGUCUUUAAGGCCUUUGAAUCCAUUGACCUUUAACCGAAUAUUAACUAGAAACUUAAUACUAAUCAUAAAUAGCUCUCUCACAGGGGAGAGAGCUUUGUGUUAUAUUUGUUCUAUCUAAUCAUAAAACAAUGCAAAAAAAAAAAGACAAAACCAAGAAUGUAAUAAAUACUUUUAAAAUUAAUGUCCACAAACAUAGAACCCUCCCUGAAUCCUAAGCAACUCUGUACAGAAUGAAGGCUUAUGUGUAUCUCUUUUUAGUGCCCUUCUCUUUUAAAUGUGAGCGCCCAAAGACUGGGACCCUGUCUUUCGUUAUGUUAAUUAUUUUUUUUAAAUGAUCACUUGAACAAUGAGCAGCACAGUGAGAGAACCAAAGGUCUAGAAUCCUGAAUCUUCUUUCUCCUUUUCUCUGAUGUUAUUUAGAAAUCUCUACCGCUGGCGUUGCUGUGGAAUAUUUAUUAGACCCCUGUGCCUCCACAUCUUUAACAUGGAUUUUCCAUGUCCUACGCGUAUAUAGCAGAACGCAGAGAAUUUUUUUUCUCCACCAGGAGUUACAUGACAGUGCUGUAGCCCGUGGCCCCUUCAGAGAGCUGGCAGGAGGCAUCUCAUUUGAAUAACUGUUUCUGUGGUGUGAAAAUCUUGCCACUGAAGAUGAGGAAACCGAGGCUCUGAGAACCGAGCACCCUGCCAACGAUUCAUCGUAGUAAGCGCAAACCUGGGGCGCACACUUCGCUCUAACGACCCAAGUCAUGGACCACAACAUCGUUCGAAACACAGAAUCUCCUGGUCUCCAAGUCUCCUUGCUUGACAGCAUGGAUCUCAUUUCAUCAAGGUAUGUGCCAGAAACCUGAAGACACAUUCGUAAACAAAUUAUCGUCGGGGAAACUAGGUGGAAAUAGAUUUAGGUAAAGUGAUAAUGGAUACAAUCACGGUAACCUUCAAAGGAUGGAUUAGCGGCCAAUGUAUCCCUGGGAGUAUGUGCAAUAGAGCUCUAUCCUUGGCCCUGUUCUGAUCAACAUCUUAUUAAUGCUUGGGACGAGAGCGGCGACGGUAAUAUAAUAGAACGUGUAAACACCUACUGAAUAAAUGAAUGAAUGAAUAUUUGAACUAUGCUGAUCAUAUCUUUAGCUGUCACAAAGUUUCAAGUCACAAUAAUUAUAUCAAACAGGUAAUUUCAGAUUAAAUUUUUUAAAUGUUUAUUUUUGAAAGAGAUAGAGAUGAGCGGGGGAGGGGCAGA
This is a long non-coding RNA of Felis catus (domestic cat), 2103 nucleotides long. RefSeq lists it as uncharacterized. Lineage: Eukaryota; Metazoa; Chordata; Mammalia; Carnivora; Felidae. The record is from RefSeq and is a predicted model, not a curated record. The transcript has 3 exons.